Molecule: long non-coding RNA, 1707 nt
Filed under: Olea europaea subsp. europaea
Lineage: Eukaryota; Viridiplantae; Streptophyta; Magnoliopsida; Lamiales; Oleaceae
Source: RNAcentral
UUCAUAUUCUUCAAAAUUUUAAUUUUGUUAAGGCAGAAAAUUCGGCAACGUAUUCUUAUUGUCUUCUUUAAAAUUAUUCACAUUUUGAGUCAAAUUAAAGAGUGUUGAUGAGCUAUAAUCUAUCUAGGGUAUUCUUCCAUCGUUUGAUGAAAGAAAGCUCGAAAAUUCAGUCUUUUAUCCAAAAACUGAAAAAUUCAGAUUUAUUGCAGAGAAUAUUUGGGUCCAAAUAUCGGAUAUUAUUGAACUUGGAUAGGGGUAAGAAUACCCUACUCAAAAGUGAUUUGAAAAAAAAAAUGUAUUCCUCUCUUUUCUUUAGAAAAAUUGAGUUUUCUACUUAACUUGUAAGCAUUUACUUAAGUAGGUUAUUAACACUUUAAAUCUAUUAAUUUCAUGAUGAUUUCAUCAAAACGAAACUAGUGUGAGUGAUUUUUUUAUAUGUUUACUUUUAUGCAACUUUGAUUAAAGUACAUUCGUAACUUUUGUGAUUCGUGAAAAGUGCUUUAAAAGGUAACCUUUCAUAAUUGUUUUACUUGUUUACUUAUGGUAAGCUUUGGAUAUUAUCUUGAUUCACAUUUAAGAAGAUAAAUAUUUAGCAUGCGCAGAUGAAAGUAUUUAGGACAUAUUUCAAUGUUUAAAUGCAUACUUUAAAGUUUUAACAUAGCAAUGUUAAAUCCCAAAUUUUCAAAAUACUGGAAAUUCUUUAAAAGAUUUGUAGACCAAGGGAUGAAAGAGUCCCUAUUUCAGUUUAUAUCUUGUUGCAACUAUUGGCUAGUCCAUGUGGUGUGGCUUGAGACCAUGUGUGGCUAAUUUAGUUAUUUAUGUCAAUGGAUCCUUGCGUGGCCCAAAGACUAUUUUGGGUGCUCAGUGUACAAAAGCUCUUUAAAGAAUUGACGCCUAAAAAAUAAAAAUGAAAUUAUGUGCAAAAUCACAAUAUGAACCACAAUUAUCUCACCGAAUGUCAAUAUUCAGUCAUAUUAUGACCUUCAGUGCAGAUAAUGGAGUGUGAGUGUGAGACAUUUGAGAUGGUGGGAUGCCAAUGGAGAUUGUCGGACGAUGAUAGAGAAUAUUAUCGAACCACCCUGGUUUGUACCAUUUCAUAAACACCAAGAGGGUGGUCAAGCACUAAGAAGCACAGCCCCGUGCAUACAAACGUAUGGAUAUAUAUAGACAGUAGAGAACUCUUGACCAAAUCAAUUUCAGUACUCGUUCUGUUUUUAUUUUGUAAAAGCUUCGCUCGGUGUACAUAAUUUUUUAUAUAUCAAGAUGUCUCACACUCACAUGGGAUGGGGUUCGCUCGAAUAACAAGUUCUCGCUAAUGGUAAGAAAUGAGGUUUGAAUGUAGGGGUUGUACUUGUUUUAUCGGAUGGUUUGAAUUAUCUCCUAUCGAUCGUAUUUCUCCCGACAUGCAAUUUGUCUUUUCAGAGCUAUUGCCCCAAUUAAAAAAAAAAAAAAAAUUUCUUGUGAUAGGGCUUGUGCCUAGUCAGAAUUAUAGUGAAAUCACCUUUCCUGUUCUUUUAUUCUAGUAGGCCCCACUCCAUGUGAAUGUACAAAAAAUUAUGUACAAAUAGUGUUAUCUUUUUGUAAAUCAAUAUUUCGAUAAGUUGUUACUUUUAAGCUGGGAUCUUUUGUACAAGUUUUAUUUCAUGUUUGUGUGUCUAUAACUAGUGCUAAAUUUAUAAUAUUUGCAUAGUUAGAUGCAGUUUUGAG